This is a non-coding RNA of Hordeum vulgare subsp. vulgare (domesticated barley), 124 nucleotides long. NCBI's taxonomy places the organism in Eukaryota, Viridiplantae, Streptophyta, Magnoliopsida, Poales, Poaceae. The record is from Rfam.
AAACUACUCCCUCCAUCCGAAAAUACUUGUUCUAAAAAUGAAUAUGAUGGAUGUAUUUAUAAUCAAAAUAAAUCUAGAUACAUUCAUCUAUAAGACAAGUAUUUCCGGACGGAGGUAGUAGUUU